Molecule: ribosomal RNA, 753 nt
Filed under: uncultured marine haptophyte
Lineage: Eukaryota; Haptophyta
Description: bacterial SSU rRNA
Rfam family: Bacterial small subunit ribosomal RNA
Source: RNAcentral
AAUCAUUGGGCGUAAAGCGCCUGUAGGUUGUUUAAUAAGUCUGUUGUUAAAGACUGGGGCUUAACCCCAGGAAAGCAAUGGAAACUACUAGACUAGAGUAUGGUAGGGGUAAAGGGAAUUUCUAGUGUAGCGGUGAAAUGCGUAGAUAUUAGAAAGAACACCGGUGGCGAAAGCGCUUUACUGGACCAUUACUGACACUCAGAGGCGAAAGCUAGGGUAGCCAAAGGGAUUAGAUACCCCUGUAGUCCUAGCCGUAAACGAUGGAUACUAGAUGUUGCGCUUAUUGUGCAGUGUCGUAGCUAACGCGUUAAGUAUCCCGCCUGGGGAGUACGAUCGCAAGGUUGAAACUCAAAGGAAUUGACGGGGGCCCGCACAAGCGGUGGAGCAUGUGGUUUAAUUCGAUGCAACGCGAAGAACCUUACCAGGGCUUGACAUACUGCAAAUUUUCUUGAAAGAGAAAAGUGCCUUCGGGAAUGCAGAUACAGGUGGUGCAUGGCUGUCGUCAGCUCGUGUCGUGAGAUGUUGGGUUAAGUCCCGCAACGAGCGCAACCCUCGUUUUUAGUUGCCAUUUUAUGGGUUCUCUAGAAAGACUGCCGGUGACAAACCGGAGGAAGGUGGAGAUGACGUCAAGUCAGCAUGCCCCUUAUGCCCUGGGCUACACACGUGCUACAAUGGCUAAGACAAAGAGUCGCGAAUUCGCGAGAAUCAGCUAAUCUCAUAAACUUAGUCUAAGUUCAGAUUGUAGGCUGCAAC